This 301-nucleotide ribosomal RNA is filed under the name uncultured bacterium. Its description in RNAcentral is "partial 16S ribosomal RNA". It matches the Rfam family "Bacterial small subunit ribosomal RNA", at positions 509 to 807 of the family's 1533-position model. The record is from RNAcentral.
CAGCAGCCGCGGUAAUACGGAGGGAGCUAGCGUUGUUCGGAAUUACUGGGCGUAAAGCGCGCGUAGGCGGUUACUCAAGUCAGAGGUGAAAGCCCGGGGCUCAACCCCGGAACUGCCUUUGAAACUAGGUGACUAGAAUCUUGGAGAGGUCAGUGGAAUUCCGAGUGUAGAGGUGAAAUUCGUAGAUAUUCGGAAGAACACCAGUGGCGAAGGCGACUGACUGGACAAGUAUUGACGCUGAGGUGCGAAAGCGUGGGGAGCAAACAGGAUUAGAUACCCCCGUAGUCCCUGUCUCUUAUAC